UCGUUCUUAACGGAUGAAACCAAUACGGAUGUAAAAGUCCAAGGACUUACUGUCCGAGAGCGCAUAAACCUCAUGUGGAUCUUUCCGUUGCCUUCCUUCUGACCUUCUCC
RNAcentral lists this small nucleolar RNA (110 nucleotides) under Hermanssonia centrifuga. Its description in RNAcentral is "Phlebia centrifuga Small nucleolar RNA Z13/snr52". It matches the Rfam family "Small nucleolar RNA Z13/snr52". From Rfam's summary of the family: Z13 or snr52 is a member of the C/D class of snoRNA which contain the C (UGAUGA) and D (CUGA) box motifs. Most of the members of the box C/D family function in directing site-specific 2'-O-methylation of substrate RNAs. Lineage: Eukaryota; Fungi; Basidiomycota; Agaricomycetes; Polyporales; Meruliaceae. The record is from Rfam by way of RNAcentral.